This 460-nucleotide ribosomal RNA is filed under the name uncultured bacterium. RNAcentral's name for it is "partial 16S ribosomal RNA". It matches the Rfam family "Bacterial small subunit ribosomal RNA", at positions 338 to 795 of the family's 1533-position model. The record is from RNAcentral.
CCUACGGGAGGCAGCAGUGAGGAAUAUUGGUCAAUGGCCGAGAGGCUGAACCAGCCAAGUCGCGUGAGGGAAGACGGCCCUACGGGUUGUAAACCUCUUUUGUCGGGGAGCAAAGCGAGUCACGUGUGACUCAUUGAGAGUACCCGAAGAAAAAGCAUCGGCUAACUCCGUGCCAGCAGCCGCGGUAAUACGGAGGAUGCGAGCGUUAUCCGGAUUUAUUGGGUUUAAAGGGAGCGUAGGUGGAUUGUUAAGUCAGUUGUGAAAGUUUGCGGCUCAACCGUAAAAUUGCAGUUGAAACUGGCAGUCGUGAGUACAGUAGAGGUGGGCGGAAUUCGUGGUGUAGCGGUGAAAUGCUUAGAUAUCACGAAGAACUCCGAUUGCGAAGGCAGCUCACUGGACUGCAACUGACACUGAGGCUCGAAAGUGUGGGUAUCAAACAGGAUUAGAUACCCUUGUAGUC